RNAcentral lists this ribosomal RNA (265 nucleotides) under uncultured Prevotella sp. Its description in RNAcentral is "partial 16S ribosomal RNA". It matches the Rfam family "Bacterial small subunit ribosomal RNA", at positions 89 to 354 of the family's 1533-position model. The record is from RNAcentral. Lineage: Bacteria; Pseudomonadati; Bacteroidota; Bacteroidia; Bacteroidales; Prevotellaceae.
CGUCGACCGGCGCACGGUGAGUAACGCGUAUCCAACCUUCCCGUUACUGCGGAUAACCUGCCGAAAGGCAGACUAAUACCGCAUGUUCUUCGAUGACGGCAUCAGAUUCGAAGCAAAGAUCCGUCGGUAACGGAGGGGGAUGCGUCUGAUUAGCUAGUUGGCGGGGCGACGGCCCACCAAGGCGACGAUCAGUAGGGGUUCUGAGAGGAAGGUCCCCCACAUUGGAACUGAGACACGGUCCAAACUCCUACGGGAGGCAGCAGAG